Molecule: ribosomal RNA, 440 nt
Filed under: uncultured bacterium
Lineage: Bacteria
Description: bacterial SSU rRNA
Rfam family: Bacterial small subunit ribosomal RNA
Source: RNAcentral
CCUACGGGGGGCUGCAGUAACGGAUCUUCCGCAAUGCACGCAAGUGUGACGGAGCGACGCCGCGUGUGGGACGAAGUCCUUCGGGAUGUAAACCACUGUCAGGGGUUACCAAGACCUGAGGAGCCCCAGAGGAAGGCACGGCUAACUCUGUGCCAGCAGCCGCGGUAAGACAGAGGUGCCGAGCGUUAGGCGGAAUCACUGGGCUUAAAGCGUGUGUAGGCGGACCGUUAAGUGCCUUGUGAAAUCCCACGGCUCAACCGUGGAACUGCUGGGCAUACUGGCGGUCUUGGGCCACCCAGGGGCGGCCGGAACAAGCGGUGGAGCGGUGAAAUGCGUAGAUAUCGCUUGGAACGCCGACGGCGAAAGCAGGCCGCUGGGGGUGAGCCGACGCUGAGACACGAAAGCCAGGGGAGCGAACGGGAUUAGAUACCCUAGUAGUC